This is a small nucleolar RNA of Phodopus roborovskii (desert hamster), 66 nucleotides long. RefSeq annotates it as small nucleolar RNA SNORD58. The transcript has a single exon. The record is from RefSeq and is a predicted model, not a curated record. Lineage: Eukaryota; Metazoa; Chordata; Mammalia; Rodentia; Cricetidae.
CGGCAGUGAUGUCUUUCUUAGGACACCUUUGGAUGUACCGUGAAAAUAAAAUACAUUCUGAGCAGC